CACAAGGAUGAUAGGAAACUCUUUUCGUCUUUACUUCAGUGACGAACGCAAAGACUUGGUCUCUCUCUCUCUCUUUCGGAAUGGUCACCGACGCGACGCCAUCCCUCUCUCAAUCGCAGCUGAAGCUCACAGCUCCGUUAUUAGGAGACAGGAGAAGUAAAGGAGUGACAGUACGGAAUUCACGGUGCUCACUGUCCGUGUUGCACAUGUGAAUAGUCGGAAAGCUAUUCGUGACGGUCACUGUCCAUGUUGCAGCUGGGAAUAGUCGGAAAGG
Long non-coding RNA from Sycon ciliatum, 274 nucleotides. RefSeq lists it as uncharacterized. NCBI's taxonomy places the organism in Eukaryota, Metazoa, Porifera, Calcarea, Leucosolenida, Sycettidae. The transcript is spliced from 4 exons. The record is from RefSeq and is a predicted model, not a curated record.